Molecule: long non-coding RNA, 663 nt
Organism: Poecile atricapillus (Black-capped chickadee)
Lineage: Eukaryota; Metazoa; Chordata; Aves; Passeriformes; Paridae
Exons: 3
Source: RefSeq, a predicted model, not a curated record
AUCUCCAUCUCCUUCUGUGUAGGAACAUUUCCAGCUAAACAGCAGGAUUUCAACAUUGUUCCAAAGGUCUUCCCAUGCAAGCCAUCUGUGCCUGACAAGGCUCUGCUGCAGAUAACACUUCUGAUGGCUCUGGACAAUAAAAGCUGGAGGUGCUUUGCCACAAGGAGCGUGUGUCCCCAGCAGAUGUCCCACCAGUGACAGCUAAAUCUGGGAGCUGGCACUUGCUCACUCCCCGAGCUGCAGCCUCGCUGGGAGCUCAGCAGGGAUCCUUGCCCAGGGAUGAACACUCUGCAAGCCAAGGAUCCCAUUCCCCUCCCUGUUUGCUCCUUUAUUUUGGCACUGGAUGGGUGUUUGGACACCAUGAAAAAUCACUGGAAUGUCACAAACAGAGCCACUGCAUGAACUUCACACCUGGAAGUCCUGGGAGCUCUGGUGCUGAUCCUGCUGGGUUUCUGCUUUGUUUGGACGAUGAAGCAAACAAAGUUCCUAGAAAUGGCUCCUACUGGUACUGUGCCAGGUUUGAUGGUGGAAUUCAUUCUCACAGGGCCUUCUGACACCACAAGAAACAUCAGCUGCUCCUCACAGUGCUGGGAAGGGUUUUCCCUGAAUGCUGGUACUGCAACACCACCUCAAAUAAACAGAGAAUCAGCAACCUCUGUUCUC